AGAGUUGAUCAUGGCUCAGGAUGAACGCUAGCUACAGGCUUAACACAUGCAAGUCGAGGGGCAGCAGAUCGAAAGCUUGCUUUGAUGCUGGCGACCGGCGCACGGGUGAGUAACGCGUAUCCAACCUUCCCUAUAGUAGAGAAUAGCCCGGCGAAAGUCGGAUUAAUGCUCUAUGUUGUAUUUAGAGGACAUCUGAAGAAUACCAAAGGUUUACCGCUAUAGGAUGGGGAUGCGUCUGAUUAGGUAGUAGGCGGGGUAACGGCCCACCUAGCCGACGAUCAGUAGGGGUUCUGAGAGGAAGGUCCCCCACAUUGGAACUGAGACACGGUCCAAACUCCUACGGGAGGCAGCAGUGAGGAAUAUUGGUCAAUGGACGGAAGUCUGAACCAGCCAAGUAAGCGUGCAGGAUGACGGCCCUAUGGGUUGUAAACUGCUUUUAUAUAGGGAUAAAGUCGGGGACGUGUCCCCGUUUGUAGGUACUAUAUGAAUAAGGACCGGCUAAUUCCGUGCCAGCCGCCGC
RNAcentral lists this ribosomal RNA (520 nucleotides) under uncultured bacterium. Its description in RNAcentral is "bacterial SSU rRNA". It matches the Rfam family "Bacterial small subunit ribosomal RNA", at positions 8 to 518 of the family's 1533-position model. The record is from RNAcentral.